AGGCAGCAUGAUUGCACUGAUGUC
RNAcentral lists this non-coding RNA (24 nucleotides) under Arabidopsis thaliana (thale cress). The record is from RNAcentral. Lineage: Eukaryota; Viridiplantae; Streptophyta; Magnoliopsida; Brassicales; Brassicaceae.